GACGAACGCUGGCGGCGUGCUUAACACAUGCAAGUCGAGCGGUAAGGCCCUUUCGGGGGUACACGAGCGGCGAACGGGUGAGUAACACGUGGGUGACCUGCCCUCAGCUCUGGGAUAAGCCUGGGAAACUGGGUCUAAUACUGGAUAUGACUCCACGGUGCAUGUCGUGGGGUGGAAAGCCUUGUGCGGCUGAGGAUGGGCCCGCGGCCUAUCAGCUUGUUGGUGGGGUGANGGCCUACCAAGGCGACGACGGGUAGCCGGCCUGAGAGGGCGACCGGCCACACUGGGACUGAGACACGGCCCAGACUCCUACGGGAGGCAGCAGUGGGGAAUCUUGCGCAAUGGGCGAAAGCCUGACGCAGCGACGCCGCGUGAGGGAUGA
RNAcentral lists this ribosomal RNA (382 nucleotides) under uncultured bacterium. RNAcentral describes it as "bacterial SSU rRNA". It matches the Rfam family "Bacterial small subunit ribosomal RNA", at positions 28 to 411 of the family's 1533-position model. The record is from RNAcentral.